AACUUGCCCAAGAGAUCGGGAUAACACCUGGAAACAGAUGCUAAUACCGGAUAACAACAGAUGAUGCCUAUCAACUGUUUAAAAGAUGGUUCUGCUAUCACUCUUGGAUGGACCUGCGGUGCAUUAGCUAGUUGGUAGGGUAACGGCCUACCAAGGCGAUGAUGCAUAGCCGAGUUGAGAGACUGAUCGGCCACAUUGGGACUGAGACACGGCCCAAACUCCUACGGGAGGCAGCAGGC
Molecule: ribosomal RNA, 239 nt
Filed under: uncultured Lactobacillus sp.
Lineage: Bacteria; Bacillati; Bacillota; Bacilli; Lactobacillales; Lactobacillaceae
Description: partial 16S ribosomal RNA
Rfam family: Bacterial small subunit ribosomal RNA
Source: RNAcentral